RNAcentral lists this ribosomal RNA (229 nucleotides) under Staphylococcus aureus. RNAcentral's name for it is "partial 23S ribosomal RNA". It matches the Rfam family "Bacterial large subunit ribosomal RNA", at positions 12 to 238 of the family's 2925-position model. Lineage: Bacteria; Bacillati; Bacillota; Bacilli; Caryophanales; Staphylococcaceae. The record is from RNAcentral.
UAAGGGCGCACGGUGGAUGCCUUGGCACUAGAAGCCGAUGAAGGACGUUACUAACGACGAUAUGCUUUGGGGAGCUGUAAGUAAGCUUUGAUCCAGAGAUUUCCGAAUGGGGAAACCCAGCAUGAGUUAUGUCAUGUUAUCGAUAUGUGAAUACAUAGCAUAUCAGAAGGCACACCCGGAGAACUGAAACAUCUUAGUACCCGGAGGAAGAGAAAGAAAAUUCGAUUCC